Long non-coding RNA from Chinchilla lanigera (long-tailed chinchilla), 525 nucleotides. RefSeq lists it as uncharacterized. NCBI's taxonomy places the organism in Eukaryota, Metazoa, Chordata, Mammalia, Rodentia, Chinchillidae. The record is from RefSeq and is a predicted model, not a curated record. The transcript is spliced from 4 exons.
GUCCCAUAAAUACCUUGCCUAUUCUUUAAACUCCAAAUCACUGCUACUAAUCCUUCAUCUCCCCACUAAGGCCUUGAUGAAAUGAUCAGGAAAACCAGAUGCAAGGAAAAGAUGACCAAUGGAUGCCGGUGUGGCUAGAUCCUGAAGCCUUUCCAACUUUUCCAAGCCUCCAUGGAACUUAAAUAUAGCCCUAGGCCAGGUAUUGCCCAACUGCGAAGUGAGGAAACCUCUAUCAAGGUGUAACUCCAUGCCUGGUCUACAGUGACUACUGUGAUGCUACUCAUGAUAACCAGGCUACUGGACUUACUUGGUGUUGUGGACUCUCAGCUUCUGAAUCAAAAUGAUCAGGAAGGGUAAGCAUUUUGAGUCAAUUCAGAACACUGAAGCAGCCUGGACAGUGCAAUUAAAAAUGCAAAAAAGGACUUCUAGAGAGAAACCUCUGCCAGGACAUGCUGAGAAGGUGCUAUUUUCAAAUUAGAAGACAGGCCCUCACCAGACCUGUGUUCUGCUGCUGCUUUGGUUUUA